This 2314-nucleotide long non-coding RNA is filed under the name Homo sapiens (human). Its description in RNAcentral is "HSALNT0110269". Lineage: Eukaryota; Metazoa; Chordata; Mammalia; Primates; Hominidae. The record is from RNAcentral.
GUGAGUUUUCCAGCACACCAGGCGGAAGUGGCCUGAGCUUUUAGGAUUUACCAUCAAGUCAUUGUGUCACUUCCUAUGGACCCUAUGUGAUGGUUAAUAUUGAUUGUCAACUUGAUUGGAUUGAAGGAUGCAAAGUAUUGUUCCUGGGUGUGUCUGUGAGGGUGUUGCCAAAGGAGAUUUGAAUCAUUUGAGUCAGUGGACUGGGAGAGGCAGACCCACCCUCAAUCUGCCAGCAUGGCUAGGCUAGAAUAAAGCAGGCAGAAGAAGGUAAAGGAGCAGACUUGCUGAGUCCUCCGGCCUUCAUCUUUCUCCUGUGCUGGAUGCUUCCCGCCCUCGAACAUCAGAUUCCAAGUUCUUCAGCUUUUGGACUCUUGGACUCUGGACUUACGCCAGUGAUUUGCCAGGGACUCUCAGGCCUGGCAAGACUCUCAGGCAGACCGAAGGCUGCGUCGUCGGCUUCCCUACUUUUGAAGUUUUGGGAUUCAGACUGGCUUCCUUGUUCCUCAGCUAGCAGAUGGCCUGUUGUGGGACUUCACCUUAGUUUUUUUUGUUUCGUUUUGUUUUGUUUUUGAGACAAGGUCUCACUCUGUCGCCCAGGCUGGAGUGCAAUGGCUCAAUCUUGGCUCACUGCAACCUCCGCCUCCCAGGCUCAAGCAAUUCUCCUGCCUCAGCCUCCUGAGUAGCUGGGACUACAGGAACACACCACCACGCCUGGCUAAAAGGGACUUCACCUUGUGAUCAUGGUGUACCAAUGAUCUGUCAAGUGAUGCGACACUAGAAUCAGGCUGGAAUUUGGCGUCUUACGGCUACAAAAGUGUUUCAUCAGUCUUCAGGUCUCUGUGCUGAUGUUAAUGCUGGUCAGCUGUGCCUGAAUUCCAACGGGAGGAAGGAAAGAUGAUGUGCAGAGACACAGGGAGAAGACGGCCAUCCACAAGCCAAGGCGAGAGGCCUGGACAGAUCUUUCCCUCACAGUCCUCGGAAAGAACCAAUCCUUUGAACUUCUUGAUUGUGGACUUCUAGGCUCCGGAAGUGUGAGAGAGGACAAAGGAGCACAUGCUCAAAAAGAAGUAGAUUGGGAGUGCCUGCGGACCCAGAGACUGACCAUCAAAGAAGACAGGAAAGUUAAGGCUCAGAGUGGCCAAGUGACUUCCUCAUGACAUUUCAGCAUUGACUUGUGGCCUCCCAAUCACAAACCUGGACCCUGUGAAUACCAAAAUCUGGGGAUACUCAAGUCCCUUAUAUAAAAUGGUAUAAUGGUGCAUAGCCCAUGCACAUAAUCUCUAGAUUACUUAUAAUAUCUAAUACAAUGUAAGUGGUAUGUAAAUAGUAGUUAUACUUUAUUGAUUUUUAUUUGUAUUUUUAGCUGUUGUAUUGUUAUUGUUUUUUAUUCCCAAAUAUUUCCCAUCUGCCAUUGGUUGAAUACAGGAUGCAGAACUGGAGGAUAUGAAGGGCUGAGUGUAGUUAGUAAAUUCAUAGAUAAGGAUCUUUCUUAUCAGAAUCAAAUAAAUGCAAAUUAAAAAACAAAAAUGUAAUGUCUUAGCUACUGAAUUUAUUUUCCCUAAAAUUAACAAUACCUAAUACUAGAAGCAGCAUCUUCAAAACUGGUUGUUGGUCUAGGAGACUGUGGUUAAAUUUCUUUUUUAGUCUUGAAGGCUUCAUAAUGCCCACAAUAUAUUUAUUUUCUCUCGUCUUUGGGAAAAGAAAAUCUGUGACUUUUCCUAUUAUUCUGAAGUAACUCCCACAAAGACUUCAAUGCACCUUCCUCAGAAAGACAAAUUUUGCAUCAUUGCAACAAUAAGUAUUUAUACUUUGUAAGGCUUGCAAACUUCCAUUGAGAAAGCAUUGCUCAAAAUAUUUGCCAGUUUGCGGUUUAAUGACACCUCAAGUGACAUUAUGUCUUUGCUGUCACUCACAUUUCCUAGAAGAAUUUUUAAGGGAUGGAAAGAAAUCCUCCAGGUUGUAAUAGAACCCCAGUUUUGAGGGGUUUAUUAUUUUGGACCUACAAAAUAAUUAUAAUCAGACAGCUUAAAUCAGUGUGGUAAUAUUUGCGUGCUGUACUGUAAUACUGUUUUGCAUAAAGAAUAAAGGGACAAUGAAAUAACACUUUGAUUGUUUUUUCUAAUACUUGAAAUUUUAAAAUAUUUGCUUCAUUGUGUAUUUUUCAAAAUGCAGACAUUAGGCCUGGCUUAAACAGUGAUCCUGUUUUGGUAGGCAUUCAAUAAUAUUGCACGUGGCACCAUCCUUUGGAAAAUUGUUUUAUGUAUCAAUAACUUAAAAAUAUUAUGGGCUAGGUGUAGUGGCUCACGCCUGUAAU